UUAGUAUGUCACCACUGGACAGAAGAAGACAACAAAGCGAUGCCCCAAGGUCGUACACCAGAGGAUGAAAAACAAUAUUGUGGAGAUGUGUUAGGCUAUACGUUUACACAAGGAAACAAUGAAGAGUAUCCAAAAUGUGGGGAAUGCUGGUGUUGUAAGCCAGAAAGUUAAAGUGCAAAGAUAGCUUCUUCGCUCAAAGAGCAACCGUUCUGGACGAAAUAGUCGAUUUAUUUUAUUCAUCAAAGUGUUAAUCGUGCUCUUAAAUAAAUGAUUAAAAUUUA
This is a long non-coding RNA of Ruditapes philippinarum (Manila clam), 281 nucleotides long. RefSeq lists it as uncharacterized. The transcript is spliced from 2 exons. Lineage: Eukaryota; Metazoa; Mollusca; Bivalvia; Venerida; Veneridae. The record is from RefSeq and is a predicted model, not a curated record.